This 253-nucleotide ribosomal RNA is filed under the name uncultured bacterium. RNAcentral's name for it is "partial 16S ribosomal RNA". It matches the Rfam family "Bacterial small subunit ribosomal RNA", at positions 524 to 776 of the family's 1533-position model. The record is from RNAcentral.
UACGUAGGGUGCAAGCGUUGUCCGGAAUCAUUGGGCGUAAAGAGCGUGUAGGCGGCUCGAUUAGUCCGCUGUAAAAGUCCAGGGCUCAACCCUGGGAUGCCGGUGGAAACUGUCGGGCUAGAGUCCGGGAGAGGCGAGUGGAAUUCCUGGUGUAGCGGUGAAAUGCGCAGAUAUCAGGAAGAACACCAAUGGCGAAAGCAGCUCUCUGGGACGGUACUGACGCUGAGACGCGAAAGCGUGGGGAGCGAACAGG